AUGCCUGGCCGCGGUCUGCUUGGUGCCGAUGGAGCUGCAGGAGCGAGGAAGAACAAGAUGGUCAAGAUCGCUGUGACAGCUCUGGCCAUGGUGCUGCUGCUCACGGCGGCGGCUGUUUCCACGGCGCCCGACGGCCGUGGCCGGCUCCGCGCCUUCUUCAUGAUGAUCUGCGUGCUCUCCCAGAUCAACCUGGGCCGCCUUCUGGCGAGGGAGGCUGUUCGGGCGCGGACGACGGCGGCCCGGCGGUGCUACGCGGUGAGCGCCGUCGCGUGCUGCCUGGAGCUCGCGCUCAAGCUGUACAUGAUCCUGGUGCUGUGCCCGGCGGGGGUGGAGGAUGGUGUUCACUGUUUAGGUACGCCGCGCUCGGGUGGAUGUGCCUGCCAAAGGAUCGAAGAUUGA
RNAcentral lists this ribosomal RNA (399 nucleotides) under Triticum aestivum (bread wheat). RNAcentral describes it as "partial small subunit ribosomal RNA". The record is from RNAcentral. Lineage: Eukaryota; Viridiplantae; Streptophyta; Magnoliopsida; Poales; Poaceae.